GUCUUAAUUGGGCGUUAAGUUGCAGGGUAUAGACCCGAAACCCGGUGAUCUAGCCAUGGGCAGGUUGAAGGUUGGGUAACACUAACUGGAGGACCGAACCGACUAAUGUUGAAAAAUUAGCGGAUGACCUGUGGCUGGGGGUGAAAGGCCAAUCAAACCGGGAGAUAGCUGGUUCUCCCCGAAAGCUAUUUAGGUAGCGCCUCGUGAAUUCAUCUCCGGGGGUAGAGCACUGUUUCGGCUAGGGGGCCAUCCCGGCUUACCAACCCGAUGCAAACUGCGAAUACCGGAGAAUGUUAUCACGGGAGACACACGGCGGGUGCUAACGUCCGUCGUGAAGAGGGAAACAACCCAGACCGCCAGCUAAGGUCCCAAAGUCAUGGUUAAGUGGGAAACGAUGUGGGAAGGCCCAGACAGCCAGGAUGUUGGCUUAGAAGCAGCCAUCAUUUAAAGAAAGCGUAAUAGCUCACUGGUCGAGUCGGCCUGCGCGGAAGAUGUAACGGGGCUAAACCAUGCACCGAAGCUGCGGCAGCGACACUGUGUGUUGUUGGGUAGGGGAGCGUUCUGUAAGCCUGUGAAGGUGGCCUGUGAGGGUUGCUGGAGGUAUCAGAAGUGCGAAUGCUGACAUAAGUAACGAUAAAGCGGGUGAAAAGCCCGCUCGCCGGAAGACCAAGGGUUCCUGUCCAACGUUAAUCGGGGCAGGGUGAGUCGACCCCUAAGGCGAGGCCGAAAGGCGUAGUCGAUGGGAAACGGGUUAAUAUUCCCGUACUUGGUGUUACUGCGAAGGGGGGACGGAGAAGGCUAUGUUGGCCGGGCGACGGUUGUCCCGGUUUAAGCGUGUAGGUGUGUGUUCCAGGUAAAUCCGGUUCACUUUAACACUGAGGCGUGACGACGAGGCACUACGGUGCUGAAGCAACAAAUGCCCUGCUUCCAGGAAAAGCCUCUAAGCAUCAGGUAACAUCAAAUCGUACCCCAAACCGACACAGGUGGUCAGGUAGAGAAUACCAAGGCGCUUGAGAGAACUCGGGUGAAGGAACUAGGCAAAAUGGUGCCGUAACUUCGGGAGAAGGCACGCUGACACGUAGGUGAAGUGAUUUACUCAUGGAGCUGAAGUCAGUCGAAGAUACCAGCUGGCUGCAACUGUUUAUUAAAAACACAGCACUGUGCAAACACGAAAGUGGACGUAUACGGUGUGACGCCUGCCCGGUGCCGGAAGGUUAAUUGAUGGGGUCAGCGCAAGCGAAGCUCCUGAUCGAAGCCCCGGUAAACGGCGGCCGUAACUAUAACGGUCCUAAGGUAGCGAAAUUCCUUGUCGGGUAAGUUCCGACCUGCACGAAUGGCGUAAUGAUGGCCAGGCUGUCUCCACCCGAGACUCAGUGAAAUUGAACUCGCUGUGAAGAUGCAGUGUACCCGCGGCAAGACGGAAAGACCCCGUGAACCUUUACUAUAGCUUGACACUGAACAUUGAGCCUUGAUGUGUAGGAUAGGUGGGAGGCUUUGAAGUGUGGACGCCAGUCUGCAUGGAGCCGACCUUGAAAUACCACCCUUUAAUGUUUGAUGUUCUAACGUGGACCCGUAAUCCGGGUUGCGGACAGUGUCUGGUGGGUAGUUUGACUGGGGCGGUCUCCUCCUAAAGAGUAACGGAGGAGCACGAAGGUUGGCUAAUCCUGGUCGGACAUCAGGAGGUUAGUGCAAUGGCAUAAGCCAGCUUGACUGCGAGCGUGACGGCGCGAGCAGGUGCGAAAGCAGGUCAUAGUGAUCCGGUGGUUCUGAAUGGAAGGGCCAUCGCUCAACGGAUAAAAGGUACUCCGGGGAUAACAGGCUGAUACCGCCCAAGAGUUCAUAUCGACGGCGGUGUUUGGCACCUCGAUGUCGGCUCAUCACAUCCUGGGGCUGAAGUAGGUCCCAAGGGUAUGGCUGUUCGCCAUUUAAAGUGGUACGCGAGCUGGGUUUAGAACGUCGUGAGACAGUUCGGUCCCUAUCUGCCGUGGGCGCUGGAGAACUGAGGGGGGCUGCUCCUAGUACGAGAGGACCGGAGUGGACGCAUCACUGGUGUUCGGGUUGUCAUGCCAAUGGCACUGCCCGGUAGCUAAAUGCGGAAGAGAUAAGUGCUGAAAGCAUCUAAGCACGAAACUUGCCCCGAGAUGAGUUCUCCCUGAGACUUUAGGUCUCCUGAAGGAACGUUGAAGACGACGACGUUGAUAGGCCGGGUGUGUAAGCGCAGCGAUGCGUUGAGCUAACCGGUACUAAUGAACCGUGAGGCU
RNAcentral lists this ribosomal RNA (2261 nucleotides) under Salmonella enterica subsp. enterica serovar Virchow. RNAcentral's name for it is "partial 23S ribosomal RNA". It matches the Rfam family "Bacterial large subunit ribosomal RNA", at positions 681 to 2925 of the family's 2925-position model. The record is from RNAcentral. Lineage: Bacteria; Pseudomonadati; Pseudomonadota; Gammaproteobacteria; Enterobacterales; Enterobacteriaceae.